GUGAGGGAAAGGUGAAAAGUACCCCGGGAGGGGAGUGAAAAAGAACCUGAAACCUUGUGCCUACAAGCACCGAGAGUCCGUUAAUGGAUGAUCGGGUACUUUUUGUAGAACGGUCCGGCGAGUUAAUAUUUGCAGCGAGGUUAAGGAACUGGAGUUCCGGAGCCGCAGCGAGAGCGAGUCUGAAAAGGGCGUAUGAAGUUGCAGGUAUUAGACCCGAAACCGGGUGACCUAUCCAUGAGCAGGCUGAAGCGGUGGUAAGACACCGUGGAGGGCCGCACCCACGUCUGUUGAAAAAGCCGGGGAUGACUUGUGGAUAGCGGAGAAAUUCCAAUCGAACUCGGAGAUAGCUGGUUCUCCCCGAAAUAGCUUUAGGGCUAGCCUCAUGUUAGAUAUCCGGAGGUAAAGCACUGAAUGGCCUAGCGUCCGAGAGGAUAGCGAAGCCUAUCAAACUAAGAAUGCCGGAAUAUUGAUGCAUGGGAGUCAGACAGUGUGAGAUAAAUCUCAUUGUCAAAAGGGAAACAGCCCAGAUCUACAGCUAAGGUCCCAAAUUGUAUCUAAGUGGAAAACGAUGUGGAAAUACGCAGACAACCAGGAUGUUGGCUCAGAAGCAGCCACUCAUUUAAAGAGUGCGUAAUAGCUCACUGGUCGAGCGUCUCUGCGCGGAAAAUUUAACGGGGCUAAGAUACAAACCGAAGCUUAGGCUGCACUUUUAGUGCGGGGUAGGGGAGCGUUGUGUAAGCGGAGAAACAGUAGCGGAAGCGGCUGUGGAGUUUACAGAAGUGAGAAUGCCGGAAUGAGUAGCGCGAAUGAUGUGAGAAUCAUCAUGGCCGGAAACCUCAGGUUUUUGGAGGAAGGUUCGUCCGCUCCAAGUUAGGCGGGAGCUAAGGUGAGGCCGAAAGGCGUAGCCGAUGCACAGACGGUAGAGAUUCCGUCCCCACCGAAAGAUUUAAGCGCAGGGACACUUUUAGAAGGUCGGAGCCAGGUGUUGGUUCUGGUAGAGAUCGAGGGAAAUUUAGUACCGAAGUCCGGCUGGAUAAGAGGCGAGAAAAGCUGCGUGUAUAUCUAAGGUGCCCGUACCGCAAACCGACACAGGUAGGUAGGAAGAAGAUUCUAAGGCCAACGGGAGAAGGGUUGUUAAGGAACUCGGCAAAUUGACCCCGUAACUUCGGGAGAAGGGGUGCUCCAGAGAUGGAGCCGCAGAGAAUCGGCCCAAGCAACUGUUUACCAAAAACACAGGUUUGUGCUAAAUCGAAAGAUGACGUAUACGAGCUGACGCCUGCCCGGUGCUGGAAGGUUAAGAGGAGAUGUGCAAGCAUUGAAUCGAAGCCCCAGUGAACGGCGGCCGUAACUAUAACGGUCCUAAGGUAGCGAAAUUCCUUGUCAGGUAAGUUCUGACCCGCAUGAAAGGCGUAAUGAUUUGGGCACUGUCUCAACAGCCCGCCCGGCGAAAUUGUAGUACCGGUGAAGAUGCCGGUUACCCGCGACAAGACGGAAAGACCCCAUGGAGCUUUACUGUAGCCUAAUAUUGGGUUUCGAUGUUGCAUGCACAGGAUAGAUGGGACUCUGGGAAACCAGUGCUUUGGCGCUGGCGGAGAGGCCGUUGGGAUACCAUCCUUGCGAUAUUGGAAUUCUAACCUGCGGCUCUGAAUCGAGUCGGGGGACAUUGUUAGGUGGGCAGUUUGACUGGGGCGGUCGCCUCCUAAAAAGUAACGGAGGCGUUCAAAGGUUCGCUCAGCUUGAACGGAAAUCAAGCAAAAGAGUGCAAACGCAGAAGCGAGCCUAACUGCGAGACUGACGGGUCGAGCAGUAACGAAAGUUGGAGUUAGUGAUCCGGUGGUAUGUGAGUGGAAAUGCCAUCGCUCAACGGAUAAAAGUUACCCUGGGGAUAACAGGCUGAUCUCCCCCAAGAGUCCACAUCGACGGGGAGGUU
RNAcentral lists this ribosomal RNA (1930 nucleotides) under human gut metagenome. RNAcentral describes it as "bacterial LSU rRNA". It matches the Rfam family "Bacterial large subunit ribosomal RNA", at positions 503 to 2518 of the family's 2925-position model. The record is from RNAcentral.